CGGACGGGUGAGUAAUGUCUGGGAAACUGCCCGAUGGAGGGGGAUAACUACUGGAAACGGUAGCUAAUACCGCAUAACGUCGCAAGACCAAAGAGGGGGACCUUGGGCCUCUUGCCAUCGGAUGUGCCCAGAUGGGAUUAGCUAGUAGGUGGGGUAACGGCUUACCUAGGCGACGAUCCCUAGCUGGUCUGAGAGGAUGAUCAGCCACACUGGGACUGAGACACGGCCCAG
RNAcentral lists this ribosomal RNA (231 nucleotides) under uncultured bacterium. Its description in RNAcentral is "partial 16S ribosomal RNA". It matches the Rfam family "Bacterial small subunit ribosomal RNA", at positions 99 to 334 of the family's 1533-position model. The record is from RNAcentral.